RNAcentral lists this ribosomal RNA (465 nucleotides) under uncultured bacterium. RNAcentral describes it as "bacterial SSU rRNA". It matches the Rfam family "Bacterial small subunit ribosomal RNA", at positions 330 to 793 of the family's 1533-position model. The record is from RNAcentral.
UCCAGACUCCUACGGGAGGCAGCAGUGAGGAAUAUUGGUCAAUGGUCGGGAGACUGAACCAGCCAAGCCGCGUGAGGGAGGAAGGUACAGAGUAUCGUAAACCUCUUUUGUCAGGGAACAAAGACUGGGACGCGUCCCCGGAUGAGUGUACCUGAAGAAAAAGCAUCGGCUAACUCCGUGCCAGCAGCCGCGGUAAUACGGAGGAUGCGAGCGUUAUCCGGAUUUAUUGGGUUUAAAGGGUGCGCAGGCGGUCUGUUAAGUCAGCGGUAAAAUCGCGGGGCUCAACCUCGCUCCGCCGUUGAAACUGGCGUUCUUGAGUGGGCGAGAAGUAUGCGGAAUGCGUGGUGUAGCGGUGAAAUGCAUAGAUAUCACGCAGAACUCCGAUUGCGAAGGCAGCAUGCCGGCUCCACACUGACGCUGAGGCACGAAAGCGUGGGUAUCGAACAGGAUUAGAUACCCGCGUAC